UAGGCGUAAAUGAUGCGAGUUAAGUGUGGGGGCGAUCUACGAGAUGGCCCUCGUGCUGUAGGGUAGCCGUUAAACUCGCUGCCUGGGGAGGUACGGUCGCAAGGCUGAAACUUAAAGGAAUUGGCGGGGGGAGGCACCACAAGAGGUGGAGGCUGCGGUUCAAUUGGACUCAACGCCGGAAACUACAUCGGGAGCGACAGCAGUAUGAUUGCCAGGUUGAUGACCUUGCUUGACAAGCUGAGAGGAGGUGCAUGGCGUAGUCGUGU
Molecule: ribosomal RNA, 266 nt
Filed under: uncultured archaeon
Lineage: Archaea
Description: partial 16S ribosomal RNA
Rfam family: Archaeal small subunit ribosomal RNA
Source: RNAcentral